UGGGGAUGACGUCAAGUCCUCAUGGCCCUUAUAGGUGGGGCUACACACGUCAUACAAUGGCCGGUACAGAGGGUAGCCAACCCGCGAGGGGGAGCCAAUCCCACAAAGCCGGUCGUAGUCCGGAUCGCAGUCUGCAACUCGACUGCGUGAAGUCGGAAUCGCUAGUAAUCGCGGAUCAGCACGCCGCGGUGAAUACGUUCCCGGGCCUU
This 209-nucleotide ribosomal RNA is filed under the name uncultured Verminephrobacter sp. RNAcentral's name for it is "partial 16S ribosomal RNA". It matches the Rfam family "Bacterial small subunit ribosomal RNA", at positions 1174 to 1382 of the family's 1533-position model. The record is from RNAcentral. Lineage: Bacteria; Pseudomonadati; Pseudomonadota; Betaproteobacteria; Burkholderiales; Comamonadaceae.